UUCGCCUUACUGAGACACGGCCCAGACUCCUACGGGAGGCAGCAGUGGGGAAUAUUGCACAAUGGGCGAAAGCCUGAUGCAGCGACGCCGCGUGAGGGAUGACGGCCUUCGGGUUGUAAACCUCUUUCAGUAGGGAAGAAGCGAAAGUGACGGUACCUGCAGAAGAAGCGCCGGCUAACUACGUGCCAGCAGCCGCGGUAAUACGUAGGGCGCAAGCGUUAUCCGGAUUUAUUGGGCGUAAAGAGCUCGUAGGCGGUUUGUCGCGUCUGCCGUGAAAGUCCGAGGCUCAACCUCGGAUCUGCGGUGGGUACGGGCAGACUAGAGUGAUGUAGGGGAGACUGGAAUUCCUGGUGUAGCGGUGAAAUGCGCAGAUAUCAGGAGGAACACCGAUGGCGAAGGCAGGUCUCUGGGCAUCUACUGACGCUGAGGAGCGAAAGCAUGGGGAGCGAACAGGAUUAGAUACCCUGGUAGUCCAUGCCGUAAACGUUGGGCACUAGGUGUGGGGAACAUUCCACGUUUUCCGCGCCGUAGCUAACGCAUUAAGUGCCCCGCCUGGGGAGUACGGCCGCAAGGCUAAAACUCAAAGGAAUUGACGGGGGCCCGCACAAGCGGCGGAGCAUGCGGAUUAAUUCGAUGCAACGCGAAGAACCUUACCAAGGCUUGACAUGUUCCAGACCGCCUCAGAGAUGGGGUUUCCCUUCGGGGCUGGUUCACAGGUGGUGCAUGGUUGUCGUCAGCUCGUGUCGUGAGAUGUUGGGUUAAGUCCCGCAACGAGCGCAACCCUCGUUCCAUGUUGCCAGCACGUAAAGGUGGGGACUCAUGGGAGACUGCCGGGGUCAACUCGGAGGAAGGCGGGGACGACGACGAAGGGCGAAUU
Molecule: ribosomal RNA, 877 nt
Filed under: uncultured bacterium
Lineage: Bacteria
Description: bacterial SSU rRNA
Rfam family: Bacterial small subunit ribosomal RNA
Source: RNAcentral